This 77-nucleotide transfer RNA is filed under the name Nitrospinota bacterium. RNAcentral describes it as "tRNA-Arg". It matches the Rfam family "tRNA". From Rfam's summary of the family: Transfer RNA (tRNA) molecules are approximately 80 nucleotides in length. Their secondary structure includes four short double-helical elements and three loops (D, anti-codon, and T loops). Further hydrogen bonds mediate the characteristic L-shaped molecular structure. tRNAs have two regions of fundamental functional importance: the anti-codon, which is responsible for specific mRNA codon recognition, and the 3' end, to which the tRNAs corresponding amino acid is attached (by aminoacyl-tRNA synthetases). tRNAs cope with the degeneracy of the genetic code in two manners: having more than one tRNA (with a specific anti-codon) for a particular amino acid; and 'wobble' base-pairing, i.e. permitting non-standard base-pairing at the 3rd anti-codon position. RNAcentral also lists the same sequence under 2 other names. The record is from RNAcentral. Lineage: Bacteria; Pseudomonadati; Nitrospinota.
GCGCCCAUGGCUCAGUUGGAUAGAGCGACGGUUUGCGGAACCGUAGGUCGGAGGUUCGAGUCCUCCUGGGCGCGCCA